This is a long non-coding RNA of Oryzias latipes (Japanese medaka), 1242 nucleotides long. RefSeq lists it as uncharacterized. The record is from RefSeq and is a predicted model, not a curated record. NCBI's taxonomy places the organism in Eukaryota, Metazoa, Chordata, Actinopteri, Beloniformes, Adrianichthyidae.
CCUGAAUAGGCUCGUCUCGAGUCGCGUGGAUUUUUACUUUUCCUCAGCAGAAGACGUCGACGGUAAAUUGGGGCACUCAAGCUUUGGUGGUUCAGUGGAGUUCUCACCUUGCCACAUGAUUCCCGGCCAAUAACCCCAAGCUUGAAGGUGAAACGUCUGAUCACAGUCCAGAGACGAACAGGAAUCAACGGACAUCCUGAUGAUGAUGCACGGUGUGAGUCUGCUGCCAUCCAUCUAAAUUCAUCUUUUCCUGGUGAGUGUUUUCUAAAAAGGUUGCUAAGCUGCACUUAACAGAGCUCUUCACUGAAACCUCAGGGAACUGAAGAAACAUGAAGGAACAUGCUGCAACUGGUUUUUCAAAUAACGAAGGAAAGGCAUUUAUCUUACAAACUAAACAGAAAAUUAAAGUAAAAGCUUUCAAGUUUCAAUCGAGAACAAAAACGAAACAGAAUUCUAAACUGUUCGAUCAGUUCCAUUUAAAAACAAAACAUGAUUUCAAAUUCUCAGAAUUUCUUCUCUUAGUUCAGAUGGUUUAGACUGGGGGUCGGCAACCGGCGGCUCCGGAUCCACACUCUUUCAUGCUUGUGCUGCGGCUCUCUGUGUUUUUUAAAAAUAACUCCUGUUCUAAGAGUGUCGUGGUGCCUUUAACACCAUCAGGUAGUGCGAGCAGGAAGAAGAGAGCAUCGUGAACGUGCGGAGGGGGCGUGUGAACGCUGACCAGAGUCUGUUAUGGGAUGGAAAGUUUUUCUGGAAAGGCGGUCAGUGGAAAUCUCGUAGGAGACGCUUGAACGCCCAAAAAAAAGCCUCCCCCCAAUUUCCCAUAUUACCACCAACUUCCAGGUAAAAUUAAUUCAAUUUGCAUUGGGGCACCCCUACUAUUCUGUCACCUUGCUGCUACGAUGACAGUAUGUUUCGCUGUCUGUGUAGAACACGCUGGGGGGGAUUGCACACGGGGGAAAACAACGAACUGGUAGAGAGGUGGGGCCGGGGCUUAAACUCACCGCUUAUCAUUCCAGACAAACUAACAGCUGUUUCCUAAUAAAAACAUAGUUGUCAGUUGUCAUCCGUUAAUAUAAUUUAUUGGCUUUACUGGAUUUAAAGGAAAAAAAAUGGAAAGGAGUCUGCAUCAAAGUGAAUCUGUUUCCAUCAUCUCACUUAUCUUAACUCUGUUUGACAGACGGAAAAGUCUAUUCAAGGUUGUGGAAAAUGGACAAAAGAUCAAAGGAAACAUCACGCUCAUAA